CGAUGGCUCCGACGUGGCGCCGCAAAACUCCAUCAGGCCGGAAACGGAGCAGUGGUAUGCGGAUGUACGGGUGGGGCCAUUUUUU
This 85-nucleotide signal recognition particle RNA is filed under the name Pseudomonas fluorescens. RNAcentral's name for it is "signal recognition particle sRNA small type". It matches the Rfam family "Bacterial small signal recognition particle RNA". Rfam says of the family: The signal recognition particle (SRP) is a universally conserved ribonucleoprotein involved in the co-translational targeting of proteins to membranes. The record is from RNAcentral. Lineage: Bacteria; Pseudomonadati; Pseudomonadota; Gammaproteobacteria; Pseudomonadales; Pseudomonadaceae.